This 253-nucleotide ribosomal RNA is filed under the name uncultured bacterium. RNAcentral's name for it is "partial 16S ribosomal RNA". It matches the Rfam family "Bacterial small subunit ribosomal RNA", at positions 524 to 776 of the family's 1533-position model. The record is from RNAcentral.
CACGUAGGGUGCGAGCGUUGUCCGGAAUUAUUGGGCGUAAAGAGCUCGUAGGCGGUUUGUCGCGUCGGCUGUGAAAACCUGAGGCUCAACCUCGGGCCUGCAGUCGAUACGGGCAAACUAGAGUUCGGUAGGGGAGACUGGAAUUCCUGGUGUAGCGGUGGAAUGCGCAGAUAUCAGGAGGAACACCGAUGGCGAAGGCAGGUCUCUGGGCCGAUACUGACGCUGAGGAGCGAAAGCGUGGGGAGCGAACAGG